CGCAAGAGGGCAAACCCAGUGCUUGCACUGGGGGUUGUAGGACUGCAAUGUGCAAGAGGUGAGUUUAGCAGAACAUUCUGGAAAGUAUAGCCAUAGAGGGUGAUAGUCCCGUAUGCGAAAAACAAACCUUAGCUAGCAGUAUCCUGAGUAGGGCGGGACACGAGAAAUCCUGUCUGAAGCUGGGUCGACCACGAUCCAACCCUAAAUACUAAUACCAGAUCGAUAGUGCACAAGUACCGUGAGGGAAAGGUGAAAAGAACUGAGGUGAUCAGAGUGAAAUAGAACCUGAAACCAUUUGCUUACAAUCAUUCAGAGCCCUAUGUAGCAAUACAGGGUGAUGGACUGCCUUUUGCAUAAUGAGCCUGCGAGUUGUGGUGUCUGGCAAGGUUAAGCAAACGCGAAGCCGUAGCGAAAGCGAGUCUGAAUAGGGCGCUUAGUCAGAUGCUGCAGACCCGAAACGAAGUGAUCUAUCCAUGAGCAAGUUGAAGCUAGUGUAAGAACUAGUGGAGGACUGAACCCAUAGGCGUUGAAAAGCCCCGGGAUGACUUGUGGAUAGGGGUGAAAGGCCAAUCAAACUUCGUGAUAGCUGGUUCUCUCCGAAAUAUAUUUAGGUAUAGCGUUGUGUCGUAAUAUAAGGGGGUAGAGCACUGAAUGGGCUAGGGCAUACACCAAUGUACCAAACCCUAUCAAACUCCGAAUACCUUAUAUGUAAUCACAGCAGUCAGGCGGCGAGUGAUAAAAUCCGUCGUCAAGAGGGAAACAACCCAGACUACCAGCUAAGGUCCCUAAAUCUUACUUAAGUGGAAAACGAUGUGAAGUUACUUAAACAACCAGGAGGUUGGCUUAGAAGCAGCCAUCCUUUAAAGAAAGCGUAAUAGCUCACUGGUCUAGUGAUUUUGCGCGGAAAAUAUAACGGGGCUAAAGUA
This 926-nucleotide ribosomal RNA is filed under the name Campylobacter coli. RNAcentral's name for it is "partial 23S ribosomal RNA". It matches the Rfam family "Bacterial large subunit ribosomal RNA", at positions 260 to 1189 of the family's 2925-position model. The record is from RNAcentral. Lineage: Bacteria; Pseudomonadati; Campylobacterota; Epsilonproteobacteria; Campylobacterales; Campylobacteraceae.